GGCGCGUUCGUAUAUCGGCUAGUACUCAAGAUUUUCAUUCUUGCAAGAUGAGUUCGACUCUCAUACGCGCUA
Molecule: transfer RNA, 72 nt
Filed under: Bacteroidaceae bacterium
Lineage: Bacteria; Pseudomonadati; Bacteroidota; Bacteroidia; Bacteroidales; Bacteroidaceae
Also listed under: 1 other name
Description: tRNA-Glu
Rfam family: tRNA
About the family: Transfer RNA (tRNA) molecules are approximately 80 nucleotides in length.
Source: RNAcentral